CCCCGCCCGGACUCCUACGGGAGCCGGGCUCCGCUGACAACAGCAACUGCCGAUAGGCCUUGUCCAGACCCCUACGGGACCCGGACUUUGCCUACGACUUUGAUUGCAGGAAGACUUCACCCUGACCCCUACGAGAGCCAGGCUACUCCAACUUCAGGAGGGCUUCUCCGUUCGGACUCCCAAGGGAGCCGAACUUAGCUCCGACUUCAGCAGAGAAAAAACCCAAGCAAAAAAGGAAAGCAAAUAGUGCCCGAAGGCAACAGAAGCUUGAACCCCCAAAUUCAAGCCCUAGGAGGGACUUUGGGCCUGAAGGGCCCCAAGCGAACCUGCAACCGUCGACGGAAUGACAAUCGGGUAUCUUCGAAUGGCGUAAGAGCCGAAAAGUAGCUCGGCAAAUGACAACCCCACA
Molecule: long non-coding RNA, 409 nt
Filed under: Elaeis guineensis (African oil palm)
Lineage: Eukaryota; Viridiplantae; Streptophyta; Magnoliopsida; Arecales; Arecaceae
Description: long non-coding RNA (EGUI_LNC082160)
Source: RNAcentral